RNAcentral lists this small RNA (74 nucleotides) under Pteropus vampyrus (large flying fox). Its description in RNAcentral is "7SK RNA (ENSPVAG00000029231.1)". It matches the Rfam family "7SK RNA", at positions 15 to 89 of the family's 331-position model. From Rfam's summary of the family: 7SK was discovered as an abundant small nuclear RNA in the mid-70s but a possible function has only recently been suggested. Two independent studies have found that 7SK RNA binds the CDK9/cyclin T complex (known as elongation factor P-TEFb). Lineage: Eukaryota; Metazoa; Chordata; Mammalia; Chiroptera; Pteropodidae. The record is from RNAcentral.
UCUGACUGCAACAUCUGUCACCUCAGUGAUUGCCCGGAUUGAUUCGGCUGAUCUGGCUGGCUAGGCGGGUGUCU